AUGAGGUGAAUGGUAUAACAGCACGUUUUAGACAAAUAGUGAAAAACGACAAGUGCUAUAAUGACAUCCAGGUUUCUUAUGUGACCUGGGAUAGUUCAUUUUGUGCUGCCAAUCCCAGAUAUGUUGCCGUAUGCAUAGAGGUGUGUGGGAGGGGAGAGUUGUGCUCCAUUGCCCAAGAAUUUGAAUGAGAUUCUUCAUUCAAAACAGUA
RNAcentral lists this long non-coding RNA (209 nucleotides) under Homo sapiens (human). Its description in RNAcentral is "non-protein coding lnc-RGS18-13:1". The record is from RNAcentral. Lineage: Eukaryota; Metazoa; Chordata; Mammalia; Primates; Hominidae.